AAGUUGUAACAAGAUUUCCGUAGAUCAAGUUUAGCCUGCCACAGCGGGUCAACCUCGCUAGUCUCCACUGGAGGCGACACACUCAACCUGUGGGAAGGCCCGUCCCGGGAAAUCCACAGCCCACUUCCCUCGCCCGGAAGUCGGUUUAGAGGCUUAAUAAGUAUGGAUGCUGAUCUCAGCACUUGAGAUAGAGUCCGUCCCAGCUGGUAACCACUGGGGGCAAACGGAACCUGCGGAAGGAUCAUUACAGAAUUGACGGCUUUGCGAAGCCAGAUUCUCACCCCAUAUAUACACUAUCUCUAUUGCUUUGGCAGGCGCCUGGCGCCCGCCAGAGGGAAAACCUUUGAAUCUCUGCAGUCUGAGUAUGAUAGAAUAGUCAAAA
RNAcentral lists this unclassified non-coding RNA (382 nucleotides) under plant metagenome. RNAcentral's name for it is "partial contains small subunit ribosomal RNA and internal transcribed spacer 1". The record is from RNAcentral.